CAGUCUUCAGUUCCUCCCAGCCCAUAACUAUGGCAGCAAUGUGUUGAGGCGAGUUGAAGACUUU
This is a microRNA precursor of Amphilophus citrinellus (Midas cichlid), 64 nucleotides long. The record is from Ensembl. NCBI's taxonomy places the organism in Eukaryota, Metazoa, Chordata, Actinopteri, Cichliformes, Cichlidae.